GAGCUAAUACAUGCGAACACUCUCUGACCUUACGGAAAGCGUGCUUUUAUUAGGAACAAGACCAACCCGGGCUUGCCCGGCUUCGUUGGUGAACUCUGGAUAACUUCAGCAGAUCGCACGGUCCUCGUACCGGCGACAAAUCCUUCAAACGUCUGACCUAUCAACUUUCGAUGGUACUUUAUGCGCCUACCAUGGUCGUAACGGGUGACGGAGAAUCAGGGUUCGAUUCCGGAGAGGGAGCCUGAGAAAUGGCUACCACAUCCAAGGAAGGCAGCAGGCGCGCAAAUUACCCACUCUCGACACGGGGAGGUAGUGACGAAAAAUAACAAUACAGGACUCUUUCGAGGCCCUGUAAUUGGAAUGAGUACACUUUAAAACCGUUCCCGAGGAUCUAUUGGAGGGUAAGUCUGGUGCCAGCAGCCGCGGUAGUUCCAGCUCCAAUAGCGUAUAUUAAAGUUGUUGUGGUUAAAAAGCUCGUAGUUGGAUUUCGGCGGGUAUUGGUCGGUUUGAAUUGCUUCAAUACUGACUUUUUUACCCGUGUGUUUUGCCAGAAUUUAACGGGUGAUCUUCGCCGAUUGUCUGUUAGAACUGGCAGGUAUACUUUGAAAAAAUUAGAGUGCUCAAAGCAAUCUUGAUUGCUUGAAUAUUCGUGCAUGGAAUAAUGAAAUAGGAAGUCGUUUCUAUUUUGUUGGUUUUCGGAAAUCGACUUAAUGAUUAAUAGGGACAGUCGGGGGCAUUUGUAUUCAACGACAGAGGUGAAAUUCUUGAACCGUUUGAAGACAGACUACU
RNAcentral lists this ribosomal RNA (789 nucleotides) under uncultured marine eukaryote. RNAcentral's name for it is "SSU rRNA". It matches the Rfam family "Eukaryotic small subunit ribosomal RNA", at positions 161 to 944 of the family's 1831-position model. The record is from RNAcentral.